This 607-nucleotide unclassified non-coding RNA is filed under the name Hevea brasiliensis (rubber tree). The record is from RNAcentral. Lineage: Eukaryota; Viridiplantae; Streptophyta; Magnoliopsida; Malpighiales; Euphorbiaceae.
GAAAAAUUAGAUUUAUUCCAUAAUUACACAAUGCAUUGUACAAUUCAAUCAUAUAAAUGUAAAAUUCAGCUUUUCCUUAAUGCUCUCUCACGGCCAUUCAAACCUAAUACAUCAUGGCAAAAAACUCAAAUCAUUAUUAUCAGUGGCAGCAAAAGAGUGUUGACAACUGCUAAACAGAUAAAGCCCAUUCGCCUCCAUCAAGAACAACAUUUGCAUACGCUAACAGAACCUAAGAUAAAAUCCAUUGUAAGUAACAAAAACACUCAAAUCCAAUUCCUACUAUGAACCUUCUCUCUCUUGUACUGAAAAUAAGCUAAUCCAACCAAAUAAUUUCAAAUCCCAGUCUAGAAUAAACAAUGAAAACAUGUGGAAAUCUUAAAGAGCAACUCAUACAGAGCAGUAAGUAUGUAUUAUGCAUGCAUGGCAUGACUAUAGUCAUAGCGAUAACUAAACUGAAUGUAGAUUCAUUAGGAGAAACAGAAAGCAAUCUCUGAAUAGCCAAAUCAGAUAUGGGAGAAAGCUGGUGCAUGUAUAAUAAGAGAGGGAGUCAAAUAGGUAAGAAUCACUUCCAUCUCUUAAAGAGUUUGCCCUUGUGCUUUCCAAACAU